RNAcentral lists this ribosomal RNA (399 nucleotides) under uncultured bacterium. RNAcentral's name for it is "bacterial SSU rRNA". It matches the Rfam family "Bacterial small subunit ribosomal RNA", at positions 28 to 420 of the family's 1533-position model. The record is from RNAcentral.
GACGAACGCUGGCGGCGUGCUUAACACAUGCAAGUGGAGCGACGAACCGGGCUUCGGCCCGGGGCAAAGCCGCGAACGGGUGAGUAACACGUGGGUAACCUGCCCCGAUGACUGGGACAACCCGAGGAAACUCGGGCUAAUACCAGAUGUGGUCGCCUCACAUAAGUGAGAUGACUAAAGAUAGCUUCGGCCUUCGCAUCGGGAUGGGCCCGCGGCGCAUUAGCUUGUUGGUGGGGUAACGGCCACCAAGGCGACGAUGCGUAGCUGGUCUGAGAGGACGAUCAGCCACACUGGGACUGAGACACGGCCCAGACUCCUACGGGAGGGCAGCAGUGGGGAAUCUUGCGCAAUGCACGAAAGUGUGACGCAGCAACGCCGCGUGAGGGAAGACGGCCUCGG